Molecule: non-coding RNA, 535 nt
Organism: Pelobates cultripes (western spadefoot toad)
Lineage: Eukaryota; Metazoa; Chordata; Amphibia; Anura; Pelobatidae
Source: the annotation of a GenBank genome assembly
CAUUGCUGCCGGCCCAGUAGUGAUGGGAGUGAGCGCGGGACUUCUCCUUUUGUAUUUAUAGCCAGUGGUUGGGGGACACUUCCUUUGAUGGCAGCUGGGCCAUUCCUCAGUCAAGUUCAAUAAUUAAAGGGACACUAUAGUCACAUGAACAACUUUAGCUUAAUGAAGCAGUUUUGGUGUAUAGAACAUCCCCCUGCAGCCCCACUGCUCAAUCCUCUGCCAUUUAGGAGUUAAAUCCUUUUGUUUAUGAACACUAGUCACACCUCCCUGCAUGUGACUUGCACAGCCUUCCAUAAACACUUCCUGUAAAGAGAGCCCUAUUUAGGCUUUCUUUAUUGCAAGUUCUGUUUAAUUAAGAUUUUCUUAUCCCCUGCUAUGUUAAUAGCUUGCUAGACCCUGCAAGAGCCUCCUAUAUGUGAUUAAAGUUCAAUUUAGAGAUUGAGAUACAAUUAUUUAAGGUAAAUUACAUCUGUUUGAAAGUGAAACCAGUUGUUUUUUUUCAUGCAGGCUCUAUCAAUCAUAGCCAGGGGAGGUG